AUUUAAUGAUGGGGGCAGCUAGCACACAUCUUCUUGAAGCUCUCCCACUACUCAUGCAGGGUCUCUCCUUUAUAUUACAUGAUGCUACAAAUAUCUUUUCUUAUAUU
Molecule: small nucleolar RNA, 107 nt
Organism: Hevea brasiliensis (rubber tree)
Lineage: Eukaryota; Viridiplantae; Streptophyta; Magnoliopsida; Malpighiales; Euphorbiaceae
Source: RefSeq, a predicted model, not a curated record